Molecule: ribosomal RNA, 471 nt
Filed under: Pseudomonas sp. BA3.1
Lineage: Bacteria; Pseudomonadati; Pseudomonadota; Gammaproteobacteria; Pseudomonadales; Pseudomonadaceae
Description: bacterial SSU rRNA
Rfam family: Bacterial small subunit ribosomal RNA
Source: RNAcentral
UGAACGCUGGCGGCAGGCCUAACACAUGCAAGUCGAGCGGUAGAGAGAAGCUUGCUUCUCUUGAGAGCGGCGGACGGGUGAGUAAUGCCUAGGAAUCUGCCUGGUAGUGGGGGAUAACGCUCGGAAACGGACGCUAAUACCGCAUACGUCCUACGGGAGAAAGCAGGGGACCUUCGGGCCUUGCGCUAUCAGAUGAGCCUAGGUCGGAUUAGCUAGUUGGUGAGGUAAUGGCUCACCAAGGCGACGAUCCGUAACUGGUCUGAGAGGAUGAUCAGUCACACUGGAACUGAGACACGGUCCAGACUCCUACGGGAGGCAGCAGUGGGGAAUAUUGGACAAUGGGCGAAAGCCUGAUCCAGCCAUGCCGCGUGUGUGAAGAAGGUCUUCGGAUUGUAAAGCACUUUAAGUUGGGAGGAAGGGUUGUAACCUAAUACGUUGCAAUCUUGACGUUACCGACAGAAUAGCACCGGC